GGGGGAGAGAGACAGAAACUGAAUACCGGACUUGCCGACCGGAGAAGGAGUUUUUUUUUUUCUUCUUUGAAGAAAAGGAGCUUGAAAAGAGACAUUCAGACGGAGGGAUCUCUCUCUCUUCGUUUUGUCUGGCCACGUCCUCCCCUCCUCUGUCCCUCUGCUGGGCCGACCGGCGCAGACACACACACAGAGGACUGCGGCAGCCUCGGCCAUCACGGUCAGCUGGCUGUGGACCGGGAAGAAAUCUCCCCACCCCGUCUCGCUCCCCGUCAACCAAAGUCCUUUCAUGAUGAAUGGCAAGGUACGAUAAUAGCCUUCAGGUUGCCAUAGAAAUAAGACAGGGGCCCUGUGUGCGAUUUCUUUUUUUCUUGGAGCAUAAAUGACAGAGGACUCUUGUCAGGCGAACUCUUUUCCUUUUUUCCACCCUCACAGGCGGCUCCUCACUCUGCUUUCAUCUUUUCCUCCUCUUGCAUCUUUUCUUAUUCAGCAUAUCUUCUUUCUUCUGCCUAAUCUGAUGUCGGGCAUUAAAAUCAGAAUCUCGCGAGUUGAAACUGUCUUAGCUGCAAUGAAUUCAGCAGCUAAACCCGAGUGCCUGAGAUCCAGCGCUCUACGAUUGUUGCAUCUGUUUAUGAACCACCAACACCGACCCCACAAACAGUCCGGACAGGCCGUGCUCUCCGGGCUGCUGUGUGGCCGAUUGGAGCGCAUUUCCAUCACCGGCACCCGGGCAACUUUUUUCAAAACUGGUCUGACGAUAAAGAAGUAUCCGCGGCUUCUUUCGGGGAGCAGAUGGAUUUUUUUUUCUUUUUUUUUUCCGCCGAACGAGGCAUCCACCCAACUCAGGUCUCGUCCCUGCAUCGAGCAUCUCCGUGCAGCUGCUACACGGCCUUUGAAACGGAGCUCUUGUGAUCUUCGUUUCCCGCCAACAGCUGCUCUCAAGCUAAACAAAGUAUUGAUCCAGUCUGUCAUUUUCACACUUGUAUGUAUGUAUGUGUGUGUGGAGGUUGAUCGUGGUCUCUCAUGUGUUUGUAUUUCGUGUCAAGGGGGGGCGGGGCUUAUUGAUAAAGGGAUGAGCUCCAACCACAAGUGC
Long non-coding RNA from Gasterosteus aculeatus aculeatus (three-spined stickleback), 1090 nucleotides. The record is from Ensembl. NCBI's taxonomy places the organism in Eukaryota, Metazoa, Chordata, Actinopteri, Perciformes, Gasterosteidae.